RNAcentral lists this ribosomal RNA (279 nucleotides) under uncultured bacterium. RNAcentral describes it as "partial 16S ribosomal RNA". It matches the Rfam family "Bacterial small subunit ribosomal RNA", at positions 506 to 784 of the family's 1533-position model. The record is from RNAcentral.
UGCCAGCCGCCGCGGUAAUACGAAAGGUGCAAGCGUUAAUCGGAAUUACUGGGCGUAAAGCGCGCGUAGGCGGCUUGGUAAGUUGGAUGUGAAAGCCCCGGGCUCAACCUGGGAACUGCAUCCAAAACUGUCUAGCUAGAGUAUGGUAGAGGAUGGCGGAAUUUCCUGUGUAGCGGUGAAAUGCGUAGAUAUAGGAAGGAACAUCAGUGGCGAAGGCGGCCAUCUGGACCAAUACUGACGCUGAGGUGCGACAGCGUGGGGAGCAAACAGGAUUAGAUA